UUCCGGUUGAUCCUGCCGGACCCCACUGCUAUCGGGAUAGGACUAAGACAUGCUAGUCGAGCGCCUCCCAGCCACGACGGAGGCGCGGCGCACAGCUCAGUAACACGUGGCUAACCUGCCCUCGGGACGGGAAUACCCCCGGGAAACUGGGGCUAAUCCCCGAUAGGUGAAGAACUCUGGAAUGAGUCUCCGCCCAAAAGACGCUUAAAUCAUGCUUUUAGGCGCCGCCCAAGGAUGGGGCCGCGACCGAUCAGGUAGUUGGUGAGGCAACGGCUCACCAAGCCUUUAACCGGUGCGGGCCGUGGGAGCGGGAGCCCGGAGAUGGGCACUGAGACAAGGGCCCAGGCCCUACGGGGCGCAGCAGUCGCGAAAACUUUGCAAUACACGAAAGUGUGACAGGGCUAUCCCGAGUGCCAUCCGCUGAGGAAGGCUUUUACCCAGUCUAGAAAGCUGGGAGAAUAAGGAGAGGACAAGUCUGGUGUCAGCCGCCGCGGUAAUACCAGCUCUCCGAGUGGUGUGGAUGUUUAUUGGGCCUAAAGCAUCCGUAGCUGGCCAAGUUAGUCCCCUGUUAAAUCCACCGAAUUAAUCGUUGGUGUGCGGGGGAUACUGCUCGGCUAGGAGACGAGAGAGGCCGACGGUAUUUUCGGGGUAGGGGUGAAAUCCUAUAAUCCCGGGAAGACCACCAGUGGCGAAGGCUGUCUGCUGGAACGCGCCCGACGGUGAGGGAUGAAAGCUGGGGGAGCGAACCGGAUUAGAUACCCGGGUAGUCCCAGCUGUAAACGAUGCAGACUAGGUGUUUGGACGGCCACGUGCCGUUCUAGUGCCGCAGGGAAGCUGUUAAGUCUGCCGCCCGGGGAGUACGAUCGCA
This 868-nucleotide ribosomal RNA is filed under the name uncultured archaeon. Its description in RNAcentral is "bacterial SSU rRNA". It matches the Rfam family "Archaeal small subunit ribosomal RNA", at positions 1 to 845 of the family's 1478-position model. The record is from RNAcentral.